This 468-nucleotide ribosomal RNA is filed under the name uncultured bacterium. Its description in RNAcentral is "partial 16S ribosomal RNA". It matches the Rfam family "Bacterial small subunit ribosomal RNA", at positions 28 to 507 of the family's 1533-position model. The record is from RNAcentral.
GACGAACGCUGGCGGCGUGCUUAACACAUGCAAGUCGAACGGAAAGGCCCUGCUUUUGUUGGGUGCUCGAGUGGCGAACGGGUGAGUAACACGUGAGUAACCUGCCCUUGACUUUGGGAUAACUUCAGGAAACUGGGGCUAAUACCGGAUAGGAGCUCCUGCUGCAUGGUGGGGGUUGGUAAGUUUCGGCGGUUGGGGAUGUACUCGCGGCUUAUCAGCUUGUUUGUGGGGUAGUGGCUUACCAAGGCUUUGACGGGUAGCCGGCCUGAGAGGGUGACCGGCCACAUUGGGACUGAGAUACGGCCCAGACUCCAACGGGAGGCAGCAGUGGGGAAUAUUGCACAAUGGGCGGAAGCCUGAUGAAGCAACGCCGCGUGCGGGAUGACGGCCUUCGGGUUGUAAACCGCUUUAGCCUGUGACGAAGCGUGAGUGACGGUAAUGGGUAAAGAAGCACCGGCUAACUACGUG